Molecule: ribosomal RNA, 227 nt
Filed under: uncultured bacterium
Lineage: Bacteria
Description: partial 16S ribosomal RNA
Rfam family: Bacterial small subunit ribosomal RNA
Source: RNAcentral
UGAGCAAUCUGCCCUUCACAUCGGAAUAACCAUUGGAAACGAUGGCUAAUACCGAAUAUGACUUCGGACCGCAUGGUCUGAAGUGGAAAGCUCCGGCGGUGAAGGAUGAGCUCGCGGCCUAUCAGCUUGUUGGUGAGGUAAUAGCUCACCAAGGCGAUGACGGGUAGCCGGCCUGAGAGGGUGACCGGCCACACUGGGACUGAGACACGGCCCAGAUCCGUACGGGG